RNAcentral lists this ribosomal RNA (460 nucleotides) under uncultured bacterium. Its description in RNAcentral is "partial 16S ribosomal RNA". It matches the Rfam family "Bacterial small subunit ribosomal RNA", at positions 338 to 795 of the family's 1533-position model. The record is from RNAcentral.
CCUACGGGUGGCAGCAGUGAGGAAUAUUGGUCAAUGGACGAAACUCUGAUCCAGCCAAGUCGCGUGAAUGAAGAAGGAUCUAUGUUUUUUAAGCUUCUUUUAUAGGGGAAUAAAGGUCUCCACGUGUGUAUAUUUGCAUGUCCCCUAUGAAUAAGCAUCGGCUAACUCUGUGCCAGCAGCCGCGGUAAUACGGAGGAUGCGAGCGUUAUCCGGAUUUAGUGGGUUUAAAGGGUGCGUAGGUUGUUGUUUAAGUCAGCGGUGAAAGUUUGUGGCUCAACCAUAAAAUUGCCGUUGAAACUGGAAGACUUGAGUGUGGUUGAGGUAGGCGGAAUGCGUGGUGUAGCGGUGAAAUGCAUAGAUAUUACGCAGAACUCCGAUUGCGAAGGCAGCUUACUAAGCUAUAACUGACACUGAAGCACGAAAGCGUGGGGAUCAAACAGGAUUAGAUACCCGGGUAGUC